GAACCUGCGGAAGGAUCAUUAA
This 22-nucleotide ribosomal RNA is filed under the name Cookeina colensoi. RNAcentral describes it as "partial 18S ribosomal RNA". Lineage: Eukaryota; Fungi; Ascomycota; Pezizomycetes; Pezizales; Sarcoscyphaceae. The record is from RNAcentral.